CAGGAUGAGUAUUGUUACUGGCCCGCGUGCAACCCGACAGCCAGAGCACGAAGAGGGGAACAACCUGAUCCUGAUACUUGGAUUUCCAGGAAAGUCAAGGUGUUUAGUGGUGUUACAGGUUUGUCCCAUGGACCACCAGAGGUGCCACUUUCAUGGAAAUCUUCUGCAGGACCAACACACCCUCCACCUCCCAUCUGCAUCUUUCCGCAGACAAACACUAUGAACAGUAAGUUAACAAUUGUUGCAUAAGCUUUGUCAAGUUGUGCGGAUCUAUAUUAAAAUAUACCUUAUGUUGAUAUUUUUUAUUUAUUUACACAGACCUUGAUCCAGUUAGUCCUAUUCAGCCUGAGAUGUCUGAUGAAACUGCCAGCUGCUCCUCAAGUGUGUCAGACUCUAUCUCCGCCUUAACCCAAACGGUUACAGUAAUACAAGAGACACUUAAGGCAAUGUUGACCCGCCAGGAUGUGAUGGCAAAAAACAUCCAGGAGAUCCUCCUCCGGUUAAACCAGACUGGAGGGGCCAGCCAGGGUCCGGAGACCCCAAUAGAAAUCGAUGUGGCCCAGUCUUUGGAAGAACUUGCUGUCUUGGAGGCAAAACUGAAAGAGCUU
Molecule: long non-coding RNA, 608 nt
Organism: Rhinichthys klamathensis goyatoka
Lineage: Eukaryota; Metazoa; Chordata; Actinopteri; Cypriniformes; Leuciscidae
Exons: 4
Source: RefSeq, a predicted model, not a curated record